Molecule: ribosomal RNA, 482 nt
Filed under: uncultured bacterium
Lineage: Bacteria
Description: bacterial SSU rRNA
Rfam family: Bacterial small subunit ribosomal RNA
Source: RNAcentral
AGUGAACGCUGGCGGCAGGCCUAAUACAUGCAAGUCGAACGGCAGCACAGCAGAGCUUGCUCUGUGGGUGGCGAGUGGCGGACGGGUGAGGAAUACAUGGGAAUCUGCCCAGUCGUGGGGGAUAACGUAUGGAAACGUACGCUAAUACCGCAUGCGCCCUACGGGGGAAAGCCGGGGACCGCAAGGCCUGGCGCGAUUGGAUGAGCCCAUGUUCGAUUAGCUAGUUGGCGGGGUAAAGGCCCACCAAGGCGACGAUCGAUAGCUGGUCUGAGAGGAUGAUCAGCCACACUGGAACUGAGACACGGUCCAGACUCCUACGGGAGGCAGCAGUAGGGAAUAUUGGACAAUGGGGGCAACCCUGAUCCAGCCAUGCCGCGUGAGUGAAGAAGGCCCUCGGGUUGUAAAGCUCUUUUGUCCGGAAAGAAAAGCAAUCGGUUAAUACCCGGUUGUUCUGACGGUACCGGAAGAAUAAGCACCGGCUA